RNAcentral lists this ribosomal RNA (459 nucleotides) under uncultured Caldilineaceae bacterium. Its description in RNAcentral is "bacterial SSU rRNA". It matches the Rfam family "Bacterial small subunit ribosomal RNA", at positions 8 to 489 of the family's 1533-position model. The record is from RNAcentral. Lineage: Bacteria; Bacillati; Chloroflexota; Caldilineae; Caldilineales; Caldilineaceae.
AGAGUUUGAUCCUGGCUCAGGAUGAACGCUGGCGGCGUGCUUAACACAUGCAAGUCGAACGUGAUUGUAGCAAUACAUGAAAGUGGCAAACGGGUGAGUAACACGUAGGUGACCUGCCUCGAAGCGGGGGAUAACCACGGGAAACUGUGGCUAAUACCGCAUUGUCCUAUUUUGAUGGGAAUCUAAAUAGGUAAAACUCUGGUGCUUCGAGAGGGGCCUGCGUCCGAUUAGCUAGUUGGUGGGGUAAUGGCCUACCAAGGCGAUGAUCGGUAGCUGGUCUGAGAGGACGAUCAGCCACACGGGAACUGAGACACGGUCCCGACUCCUACGGGGGGCAGCAGUGAGGAAUAUUGGUCAAUGGGCGAAAGCCUGAACCAGCAACGCCGCGUGGAGGAAGACGGCCUUCGGGUUGUAAACUCCUUUUAGAGGGGAAAAGUAAGGAUGGCACCCUCAGAAUAG